GCCCCGGUAGCUCAAUUGGAUAGAGCUUCUGGCUUCGAACCAGAAGGUUGCAGGUUCAAUUCCUGCUCGGGGCA
Molecule: transfer RNA, 74 nt
Filed under: Candidatus Omnitrophota bacterium
Lineage: Bacteria; Pseudomonadati; Candidatus Omnitrophota
Description: tRNA-Arg
Rfam family: tRNA
About the family: Transfer RNA (tRNA) molecules are approximately 80 nucleotides in length. Their secondary structure includes four short double-helical elements and three loops (D, anti-codon, and T loops).
Source: RNAcentral